AGCUUUGCACAGUGGCAGUAUCAGAGCCAAUGAGGUUUAUCCGAAGCGGGAUUAUUGCUAAUUGAAAACUUUUCCCAAAACUA
RNAcentral lists this small nuclear RNA (83 nucleotides) under Octodon degus (degu). RNAcentral's name for it is "U4 spliceosomal RNA (ENSODEG00000025796.1)". It matches the Rfam family "U4 spliceosomal RNA", at positions 1 to 83 of the family's 138-position model. Rfam says of the family: U4 small nuclear RNA (U4 snRNA) is a component of the major U2-dependent spliceosome. The structure of U4 snRNA from yeast and human has been reported. Lineage: Eukaryota; Metazoa; Chordata; Mammalia; Rodentia; Octodontidae. The record is from RNAcentral.